GCCAUCAGGUUAAGCUGGGGACUCUAAAGGAACUGCCUACGCAAGUAGUGAGGAAGGCGGGGAUGACGUCAAAUCGAGCACGGCCCUUACGUCCAGGGCUACACACGUGGCUACAAUGGCCGAUACAGGAGGGCAGCUACCUGGUGACAGGAUGCAAAUCUACCAAAGUCGGUCUCAGUUCGGAUCGGAGUCUGCCAACCCGACUCCGUGAAGUUGGAUUCGCUAGUAAUCGCGCAUCAGCCAUGGCGCGGUGAAUACGUUCCCGGGCCUU
Molecule: ribosomal RNA, 271 nt
Filed under: uncultured Sphingobacteriales bacterium
Lineage: Bacteria; Pseudomonadati; Bacteroidota; Sphingobacteriia; Sphingobacteriales
Description: partial 16S ribosomal RNA
Rfam family: Bacterial small subunit ribosomal RNA
Source: RNAcentral